This 545-nucleotide long non-coding RNA is filed under the name Nicotiana benthamiana. RNAcentral describes it as "long non-coding RNA (NBEN_LNC032436)". The record is from RNAcentral. Lineage: Eukaryota; Viridiplantae; Streptophyta; Magnoliopsida; Solanales; Solanaceae.
CUGUGUUUUCCACAAAAGAAUACCCGAAAGAGGGGGGAAAACCAGUCCAAAGGCUAAUCACAAGAUUGCAGUAAUCAUUAAACAAGGUUGCAGUAAUCAUAUAUGUUUUUUUAAUUAAGAGUAAUCAUAUAUGUUUAAAACAUAAAAGCAAAUAAUAUUUUUGCAAGUACCAUCUCAAACUUAUUCCCGCAUUUGAUAAAUAAUUUAGCCUAUCAAAGGGAAGUACAAUGCCAGAGUUACUGAACUUAACGAUUCACCAACACGCAAAGGUUUUGACCUAACCUGUAUUUUGGUCUGGCAGCAGAUCCUUGAUAGGACAGGUUGACAGUUGGUUGAGCAUCUUUAGUGUCAACAGCAACAUUGUUCAAAGACUUUACCUGUAUUUUGGUCUGGCAGCAGAUCCUUGAUAGGACAGGUUGACAGUUGGUUGAGCAUCUUUAGGCGCAACAGCAACAUUGCCCAAAGACUCAGAUGCAGGGGGAGCUACGACAUUUCCCGAGGUUUUAUCCACCGACUGAUUAGGUAGUUCUCCAGCUUCCUCUGAA